This 227-nucleotide long non-coding RNA is filed under the name Elaeis guineensis (African oil palm). Its description in RNAcentral is "long non-coding RNA (EGUI_LNC027947)". Lineage: Eukaryota; Viridiplantae; Streptophyta; Magnoliopsida; Arecales; Arecaceae. The record is from RNAcentral.
GGCUGGGUUUAUCCAAGGCUUCAAGGACUGCAAGGUGCGUGUGAAGAGGAUGGUCUUGAAGUUGGAUCUGAGGCACCUCCGCCCUGACAACAGUGACGAGGAAGUGGGGGUGUUCUCUUGAGAUGAAGACUAGAUCUUUAUCCUUUUGUAUUCACUUUUGGGUGCCCUUGCCUCGACGACUCCCUGUAAUAAGAUUUUAAUUAAUGAAAAAUAUAUUUCAUUACGUG